AACGAACGCUGGCGGCAUGCCUAACACAUGCAAGUCGAACGAAGCCUUCGGGCUUAGUGGCGCACGGGUGCGUAACGCGUGGGAAUCUGCCCUUGGGUUCGGAAUAACAGUUAGAAAUGACUGCUAAUACCGAAUGAUGUCUUCGGACCAAAGAUUUAUCGCCCAAGGAUGAGCCCGCGUCGGAUUAGCUAGUUGGUGAGGUAAAGGCUCACCAAGGCGACGAUCCGUAGCUGGUCUGAGAGGAUGAUCAGCCACACUGGGACUGAGACACGGCCCAGACUCCUACGGGAGGCAGCAGUGGGGAAUAUUGGACAAUGGGCGAAAGCCUGAUCCAGCAAUGCCGCGUGAGUGAUGAAGGCCU
This 361-nucleotide ribosomal RNA is filed under the name uncultured bacterium. RNAcentral describes it as "bacterial SSU rRNA". It matches the Rfam family "Bacterial small subunit ribosomal RNA", at positions 29 to 417 of the family's 1533-position model. The record is from RNAcentral.